GAGAGAGGGAGUGAGCGGAUCUUAAGCAGGUUGCAUGCUCAGCUCAGCGCAGAGCCCGAGGAAAGGCGGGGCUCAAUCUCACCGCCCUGAGAUCAUGACGUGAGCCGAAAUCGAGUGGGACGCUUAACCAGCUGAGCCACCCACGCACCCCACUCUUCAUGCAGUAUUUUCAAUAUGUUCUCUGUUUUCCAUGUUUUCACAGAUGAUGUAUUUUAACUAAUAAACUUCUAUUUUAAUUAGUUUUGUCCUAAUUCCAUUUAGGAAGAACCAGAGCUUCAAUCCCUCAUUAUAUUAGCCAAGCUCAAUACAUGGUUGGUAUUUGCCUAAUUGAAUUCCUCAGAGUCACUUUGGUCACCUCCACUGUAAUUGGCCGGUGCCCCAUUUUGGAGGUACCCCAAAUUGGCAGCUUAUCUCUGAAGAGGAUCCCAGAGUUGCCCUCAUACUGAUUUCAAAGCCAGUUGAGGGUUAGAGUUUUUGCAGGAGAAAUCCUGGGAGAUGGGACAUCUCUGAGGUAACUCUGGGCUUGAGGAAAUCUGAAUCAAAAUCAUAAACCUGUGUGGAUAAGGAACCAAGGCACCGCUCACCAGGCUCGAUGCCAACAACAGCGACCACCACGUUCUUUGCGCAUGGCCCCACCACACGGGGGUGGGUUCGUAUGGGUUUGGAGAAACCCUUAACUGCUGUUGUCUACCUGUACCCUUUCUUUCUUUUUUUUUUUUUUUAAAGAUUUUAUUUAUUUAUUUGACAGAGACACAGUGAGAGAGGGAACACAAGCAGGGGGAGUGGGAGAGGGAGAAGCAGGCUUCCCGUGGAGCAGGGAGCCCGAUGCGGGGCUCGAUCCCAGGACCCUGGGAUCAUGACCUGAGCCGAAGGCAGACGCUUAACAACUGAGCCACCCAGGCGCCCCUACCUGUACCCUUUCCACUCCUUGUUGGCAUUUUCCUGCUCUGCUUUCCUUCCCUGAAUCAUUUUCUCUCUUCAUUCCUGCAGCUGCGGCCUUCCUGCCCUCUUUCGUCUCUCUACUCCUCGGGCCUCCUUUCCUCCUGCCCCGGCACUCAGACUCAUUGCUGCUGAUUAAAUAUGUGGCGCUGCAGAUUGGUUCAAGUACGGCCCUCCCACGGUUCUCCACCUGACUCAAAAUGUUUAAACGGCUUCUUUCUAAACGACGAAAAUGCUGGGUUUUAUUUCCAUAGGUUGCUUUGGACAGCAAUUGGGCAAAUAACCCAAAAUUUCAGACUUGAUUUUUAAAUACAUUUUUCCCCCUUUAGAUUUACAAAUAAUUUCACCUUAGAGACACACACACACACACAAAAAAGUACAAAACAGCACCAAGGUGUCUGGGGAUGGGAAGACGAGCCCAAUGAAUCAAAUUGGCUCUGAACAUUUCAGAGAGGGGUGCCCAACAACAAGCCUGCUUCUGUCCAUAGUCCUGCCAUGGGCCUUCCCCCCACCCCAUCUCCACCUCAACCCAGUAUCACUGAUAGAGGAAUAUGUGAAAACCCCAGUUUCAAAAUGUUCUGUGUGCUAGAAUGGCAGGUGCCUGUUGAGCGGGUCUGGGACACACAGAGGUACCUCACAGCAUCUGCCUCAAGGGGGUGCUACUUCCCCACAGUGAUGAGCCAACCACAAGGCCCGUGGGAUGGCGCUUCCCCUCAUUUGUUUUCCUUCAUUUAUGUUACUUGGAUGUUUAAGUAAUAAACACAAAUUUUCUGUGUUUACAUCUCUUAUUUCUCUAGGAAACAGUUCCCUAAAGGCUGUCUACAUGAAAGACAAAAUGAAGAGUAUGCGGCUCCUGAAUCCCACUGUCCAGCGUUCUAAGACUCCCCUAUUUUUCAGCCCAGCAUUUAGCUCAUGCUCUGGAGGAGACACCCUCUUGAACUUUCUACCAGACUGUGCAACCUUUCUGAAAUCACAGUUGUGUCUUACUUACUCUCUGCAAUCCCUUGACAUAGUCAAGGCUCACCACUGCAUCAUAUUUGCAUCAUAUUCAUUGAGCAUCAGUAUGCUCACAUGGAUUGAGCAGGGUCAUCUAAAAUACCCUGAAUUAUUAUUUUUUUUAUUAAGAUUUUAUUUAUUUGAGAGAGAGAAUGAGAGAAAGAGAGCAUGAGCAGGAUGAGGGGCAGAGGGAGAAGCAGACUCCCCGUUGAGCAGGGAUCCUGAGGUGGGGCCCGAUCCAGGGACUCGGGGAACAUGACUUGAGCUGAAGGCAGAUGCUUAACACACUGAGCCACCCAGGCACCCAUAAGAUACCAUGAGUUAUAUGCAGGGGGUCCUGGGGUGCCUGGAUAGGAGAACAUAUUCAGGGGCAUAUAGUGUACGGGUUUGCGAGUCACCAGAGACAGUGGCUGAGGGACAGAAUUCCAGGCCACAUCUGGCCGGUGGUGGCAUCCAGGGAGUUUACGUGGAACAGCUUUCAUUAUUCUGUGGCAUCACCUUUAAGGUCGGAGACGUGUCCCAACACUUUUUGGUUCCCUUAAAGGUAAAUAAAGGUGGUUUCUGAUCUUUUGCAAUUACAAACAAUGCUACAAAACAAUGCUACAAAAAAUCAUUCCUGACUCUAUUUAGAAUUUUCUACUGUCAACCAUAAAAGGACAAUACCACUGAGUAACAUUGUGUUUCCUUUUGUUUAUCCAAAAAUUGAAUCAAGAUUGCAGAAAUACCUCUAAGUUAAGAUUUUCUUCAAUUUGAUGACUGAGUAUUCAUUGACCUAUAAUUCUAUAAUUUUAUUCGUUUUCAUUUUUGUUCAUUUUUUUUAAAGAUUUUAUUUAUUUGACAGAGAGAGAGCGAGAAAGGGAACACAAGCAGGGGGAGUGGGAGAGGGAGAAGCAGGCUUCCCGCGGAGCAGGGAGCCCAAUGCGGGGCUCAAUCCCAGGACGCUGGGACCAUGACCCCAGCCGAAGGCAGACGCUUAACGACUGAGCCAUCCAGGUGUCCCUGUUCAUUUAUUUUCAAUUCCACGUCCAAAGUCCCAGGCAAGGAUUCUGAUUGGCCCAGCUUGAGUCAAGAACCAACUUCUGGACCAAUCAACUGUGAGGACAGGUAGACUCUGAGAUACCAAGCAUUAUGUCUCUAUAAAUUACUCUUUUUAAAGAAUACUAAGAAGGCCGACCGUGCUUCGGAAUUGUAAGGACGCUGUUUGAUGGUGACAAGUGCCUGGAUUACCAAAACAACCUUCAACAGGUACCACACAGACACCCUCCAUUCUGUCUCUACAUGGCCAGAUUUUUUCAAAUCAAAGAUUUGAACAUCAAAAUCAUAUUCUAUCUCUCUAUUUCUUAAAAGGCUUCAAAUGUUUCCCGUUGCUCUUAGUAUAAAACCCAAACUCCUUAGUAUGGCCAUGAAAAUCUAUGUGGGUUGGCCUCUGGCUCCUCAGUCUCUGAGCCUCAGCCACAGGGGCCUCCCCUCAGUGCCUCCGCCAUGCUCCCUCAGCACAGGGCCUUUGUACACACUGCUUCCCCUGCCCAGAUGCUCUUCCCCUCUCCCUCCCAGUCACCUAACUGCUCAUUUAGUGUGCUUCCUCAGGAAAAUCUUGCCAAAUCUUAUCUAAAUUAUGUCCCCCUCACAGCCAAGAGUAGCUAUAGUCCUUUUCCUGUGUAGCACUUGGCACUCUGGUAACUUACAUUUAUUUAUCUGAUUAUUUGAUUAUCUGUAUCACUACUAAAUAAAUGGUCUGCUUCAAGAAAACAGGCACUGUGUCUGUUUUUGCUCACCACACUUCUCCCACAUCUAGUACAUCUAGCUGUAUUGCAGAUGUACAGAAAAUAUUGGUUGAAGAAAUGCAUGUUGUACAGUAAAAAUGACCAAAAACAUUGCUUAUUGCUAUACAACAAAUUAAUCUAUAACAUAGUAACUUCAAGCAACAAGAAUCGUUUAUUACCUCUCACAGUUUUUGUGGGUCAGGAAUUUGGUGGUGGCUUCCUGAGUAUCUUUUGUGUUGAGUCUUUCAUGACGUUGUAGUUGGAGGUCAGUGGGGGCUACAGUCAUCUGAAGGCUUGUCCGAGGCUGGAGAUCUUCCCAAGAGCCUGGAAGUUUCUGCUGGUUCUUGGGAAGAAGCCUCAGUUCUCCACAUGGGCCUCUCCACAAGUUUCUUGAGUGUCCUCAAGACAUGGCAGCUGGCUUCUACCAGAGAAAACUAUUCAAGCUGCAAUUUUAUGGCUUAACAUUGGAAGUCAUGGACAGUCAUGUGUGCAGUAUUCUGCUGGUCACACAGGUCAGCUCUGAUUCAUGGUAGGACUACACAAAGGCACGAAAACCAGCAGGCAUGGAUAACUGGAAGCCAUCUUGGAGACUGGCUACCACAAACACUUCUGUUUAACUCUUGCAUUUUCAGACCCUUGACAUAUGGAAAACAUUUGUACAAAGAAGACAGGGCAUCCUUCCCUGAGGCUUCUCUACCUCUCCUAGAAUUAUACUGGGUUUCCAAAUUCAGAAGUUCUAGUGAAAGUCUCAAAAAACAACCUUCUCAUACAGAGUUAAUUAACAAGUUACUGUUCCCCAAAGCCUCUGCCCCAUUCAAGUGACCAGGAGGUCACAUUUGUUUUUCUAUCCUAUCACUUAACCAGACACCAAAAUUGAGAAACAACUCCAACAAAGAAAAUUAGUACAAAAAGGAAAUAUAACCAAUAUUUCUUGAAAAUCUGAUA
Long non-coding RNA from Mirounga angustirostris (Northern elephant seal), 4643 nucleotides. RefSeq lists it as uncharacterized. The record is from RefSeq and is a predicted model, not a curated record. The transcript has 3 exons. Lineage: Eukaryota; Metazoa; Chordata; Mammalia; Carnivora; Phocidae.